UAUAAAGCACCUGGAGGGGCUCGCGCUGAUUAGACCCCCAGUAAAGAAGGGUUAAAGUGCCAAAACUGACCUACACUCUCACUCAUACUUAGACAUCCCAAAUGCAGUUUUCGAGUGCGGGAUAUGACUUACAGUCUGUGUUUAGACGGAAAUAUCUGACAUUACCUGAAAGAGAAACUCGAUACGAGAAUGAUAUUCGGAAAGCUCUUGAAGUAGCUACAAACGUCACGUCGCCUGUAGCUCGCGAUGCGCCUCAUGUAGCGCUUCAGCCGAGCACAGUGUUUUGGAUUUAAAUGGUCCAAUUUUGACACACGUGCUUUGCUCAACCGAGUAUCGGCGCUAAGCCCCAUGAUUUCACCUCGUCCUUGAGAGACCAGCGCAAGUCAACCCAAAUAAAACAUCCCGACCCUGUUCACCUCUCCCGGAGGGUCGUUUUCCUUCGAGACACGUGGACGAAGCCGUACACCGCAUUAGGAUAAACUUUGGUCCAGAGUGUGUCAGUGGGUGUCAUCCCGUCUGCAAAAGUGAAAAUGUGAAUAAU
Molecule: long non-coding RNA, 541 nt
Organism: Carassius auratus (goldfish)
Lineage: Eukaryota; Metazoa; Chordata; Actinopteri; Cypriniformes; Cyprinidae
Exons: 3
Source: RefSeq, a predicted model, not a curated record